AACAGACGAGGAGCUUGCUCCUCUGACGUUAGCGGCGGACGGGUGAGUAACACGUGGAUAACCUACCUAUAAGACUGGGAUAACUUCGGGAAACCGGAGCUAAUACCGGAUAAUAUAUUGAACCGCAUGGUUCAAUAGUGAAAGACGGUUUUGCUGUCACUUAUAGAUGGAUCCGCGCCGCAUUAGCUAGUUGGUAAGGUAACGGCUUACCAAGGCAACGAUGCGUAGCCGACCUGAGAGGGUGAUCGGCCACACUGGAACUGAGACACGGUCCAGACUCCUACGGGAGGCAGCAGUAGGGAAUCUUCCGCAAUGGGCGAAAGCCUGACGGAGCAACGCCGCGUGAGUGAUGAAGGUCUUCGGAUCGUAAAACUCUGUUAUUAGGGAAGAACAAAUGUGUAAGUAACUAUGCACGUCUUGACGGUACCUAAUCAGAAAGCCACGGCUAACUACGUGCCAGCAGCCGCGGUAAUACGUAGGUGGCAAGCGUUAUCCGGAAUUAUUGGGCGUAAAGCGCGCGUAGGCGGUUUUUUAAGUCUGAUGUGAAAGCCCACGGCUCAACCGUGGAGGGUCAUUGGAAACUGGAAAACUUGAGUGCAGAAGAGGAAAGUGGAAUUCCAUGUGUAGCGGUGAAAUGCGCAGAGAUAUGGAGGAACACCAGUGGCGAAGGCGACUUUCUGGUCUGUAACUGACGCUGAUGUGCGAAAGCGUGGGGAUCAAACAGGAUUAGAUACCCUGGUAGUCCACGCCGUAAACGAUGAGUGCUAAGUGUUAGGGGGUUUCCGC
This 786-nucleotide ribosomal RNA is filed under the name Staphylococcus sp. ULT_537. RNAcentral describes it as "bacterial SSU rRNA". It matches the Rfam family "Bacterial small subunit ribosomal RNA", at positions 68 to 837 of the family's 1533-position model. Lineage: Bacteria; Bacillati; Bacillota; Bacilli; Caryophanales; Staphylococcaceae. The record is from RNAcentral.